CUUUCGUUAAAGAAACUGGCAUAAAUAUCCUGUAAAUAAAUUUCAUUGAUUUUUUUUUUAUAUAUAUUUCCAAAUAUUCUACGAUUUUAUAACUCUAAGCUAUCGCCAUUAAUCGUAUUGUUACAACCAUCUCUAUGACUUUUUGCGACUUGCAGUCGGACUGGUCUGGUCUGUCCAUCUGUCCCGCUUUUUGGCUAUGUGCUUUGGUGGCGUUGACAAUCAACGCAAAUAGCUCAAACGCCUCAAGUGUUUGGCUGCUGCUGCUGCUGCUGAAGAUGUCACCCACACUUCAGGUUCUCUCUGGGGGCUUCAUCUGCAUCUCCGCCAAACUCCAAGUUCGUUUCUCGAGUCUUUUGUUUAGACAACGUCAAACGAUGGUGGCAGAAGUCGAUGAUGGCUAGAUGGCUCGCUGGCUCGCUGCUGGCUGUUCCCUUAGUUUGACUUUUGCAAUUUGGCACAGAGGCACUAACAACAGCAGCAACCCAAGAAGCAGUAAGCAGCGCACAAGAAGGAAGCACAAAUAUUGGCAAUAUUUUCAAUGACUGCUGAAUAUCGCUUACAGUUAAAUGGAAAUUGAUGCACUUAACGCUGACUCACUCAGAGCUCUUCACUGCUUGGAUUCUGUCAUGGAAAUGCAAAGAAAAGAGAAUUCCUCAUUUUCCAGGGCUCUGACUUCUCAGCAACUUGCCAGCAACGUGACUUUGAAUAAAUUAAAAGACUGCCAUCACAUACAUAAGAUAUCUGGGAUUCGGAGGCAUUCAAACAGCGUAAAGAAAUGGAGCAAAAUGAUGAGCGAAAAACCAUAAAAUAAAUCAAACUUUUGUCUGCAAAUUUCAGUGCAUCAUUAAUAUGGAUCAGCCAGUCAUAUAUGUAGACUUUAAGACUGUCGUAAAACCACAAGCGAUUGUAAUUAUUUUUCAUAAAUUUCCAUUUGAAUAAAUUGCAAUUAAUUUAAUUUAAUUAACAGCUCUACAAACACACGUUACAGAGCAAUUCGCGCCGAUCGCCUGCCUCCUGCAUGCUGAAUCCUGUUGCAACAACCACUUGUCGCAUUUUAUUAUCAGCAACGGCAACUGUCAAAAACUCAUGCUAAAUGCCAUAAGAUAUAAGAUUUUAUAUCCAGCAGCACAUCGGGCUACAAAUGGCACAACAAAUUCGUGCAGAGCUACCAAUCCACAUCGAACCACCAGAGCCACCAGGGCAACCAAAGAGGUGCCACCACCACCACACCUGAACGACAAUGAGG
This 1246-nucleotide long non-coding RNA is filed under the name Drosophila guanche. The record is from RNAcentral. Lineage: Eukaryota; Metazoa; Arthropoda; Insecta; Diptera; Drosophilidae.